Molecule: ribosomal RNA, 1421 nt
Filed under: metagenome
Description: bacterial LSU rRNA
Rfam family: Bacterial large subunit ribosomal RNA
Source: RNAcentral
CGUGGAGACGGAGCAGUGAAAUCACCGCGGGGCGACGGAAGUCCCCGUUGAAGAGUGUAGGCGUUGAGGAUGGCAGGCAAAUCCACCGUCCGAGCUGAACUUGAGAGUAUGAGUCUUCUUCGGAAGAAUCCAAUAGUGUGGGUAAUCAUACUCCCGAGAAAAUCCGCUAAGCUUAACCCAUGCGGCACCCGUACCGCAAACGGACACACGUGGUCGGGUAGAACAUACUGAGGCGUUGAGAGAUUCAUGGUUAAGGAACUAGGCAAAUUGACCCUGUAACUUCGGGAUAAAGGGUCCUCGUGAAUAGCGAGGCGCAGAGAAUAGGUCCAGGCAACUGUUUAACAAAAAUACAGGGCUGUGCAAACUCGAAAGAUGACGUAUACAGCCUGACACCUGCCCGGUGCCGGAAGGUUAAGAGGAGAUGUCACUCGCAAGAGGAAGCAUUGAAUUGAAGCCCCGGUAAACGGCGGCCGUAACAAUAACGGUCCUAAGGUAGCAAAAUUCCUUGUCGGGUAAGUUCCGACCUGCACGAAUGGUGUAAUGAUCCGGACGCUGUCUCAACCAUGAGCUCAGUGAAAUUGUAGUAUCGGUGAAGAUGCCGAUUACCCGCGAUGGGACGAAAAGACCCCGUGAACCUUUACUACAGCUUAGCAUUGACCUUGGUCAUCCGAUGUGUAGGAUAGGCCGGAGGCUUCGAAGCGGGAGCGCCAGCUUUCGUGGAGCCAUCCUUGAAAUACGGCCCUUUGGCUGUCUGAGGUCUAACGCGCGAUGCGCGGACACUGCUUGGUGGGUAGUUUGACUGGGGUGGUCGCCUCCAAAAGCGUAACGGAGGCUUCCAAAGGUGCCCUCGGGUCGAUUGGUAACCGACCUCAAAGAGUGCAAUGGCAUAAGGGCGCUUGACUGGGAGGCAGACAUGCCGAGCAGGCAGGAAACUGGGGCAUAGUGAUCCGGCGGAUGUGUAUGGAAACUCCGUCGCUCAAAGGAUAAAAGGUACUCCGGGGAUAACAGCUGAUCCCCCCCAAGAGCUCAUAUCGACGGGGUGGUUUGGCACCUAUGUCGGCUCGUCACAUCCUGGGGCUGGAGAAGGUCCCAAGGGUUGGGCUGUUCGCCCAUUAAAGUGGCACGCGAGCUGGGUUCAGAACGUCGUGAGACAGUUCGGUCUCUAUCUAUCGUGGGCGUGGGAGUUUUGCGUGGUGCCGUCACUAGUACGAGAGGACCGUGAUGGACAGACCUCCGGUUUACCAGUUGUGCCGCCAGGCGCACCGCUGGGUAUCUGAGUCUGGAUUGGAUAAGCGCUGAAAGCAUCUAAGUGCGAAGCCAGCCGCAUAUGAGAACUCCAUUGAGGGUCGUCAGAGACGAUGACGUUGAUAGGAUGCAGGUGUAAAGACAGCGAUGUCAAAGCCGAGCAUUACUAAUUGCCC